UAUUACAGAGGUUAAAAGAAAUCAUGUGGAAACACUAGCAAAAUAUAUCCAAUUUAGGCGGUUCAGAAAUCAGAACCAACCCGUACCUAGCCUUUGGUCUCAUACAAGCAUACAAGGCCGAUUUGGCCGGUUUAGAACCAGAGCAUGUCCAGGGCUAGAUGGGAGGCAAGAAAGUCCAACAGAAGAGGCGGGCAACUGGGCAAGCAACGAAGCCUUUGGCCGCCGUUGGCCAUGAAUAGCAAAGGACAAGUGACAAGCCAUGAUAACGGCAAGGUGGGCGGCACAGAAGGAAUUCGCAUGACGUCUGCCGCGGUACCACAGGCCCGCCAAAAUGGCUCUGUGGGACUGUGGCUUCCAGUUCACAAGCUCCAACGCGCGCACCUCCUGUUCGACGGAAUGACGCCGUGCUGGUCGCAUGAACUGGGCUAUCGGCUACCUUCCACUCAAGACCUCAGCAUUUCCAAUAGUGUACAGGCAGUGGUGCCUGGACUCUGGAGAAGACAUUGGUGUGUUUACUUCAGUUGGUGUUGCAGUAGGUAGCAUGGGCUAUCAUCUAUCAUUUCUCAUGUCUGAAGACAGAGUCCAAGCGUUCUUGAAGAGAGUUGAUGUAACUAUCAUCGUGGAUGUAUAUACAGGUGCAUCAUUUGAUCAUCUGGGUGCAGGCUUCGCUUCUCUGGGGAAGUAGUCGGCAGACUGAACAUAAGAUUUUCUUGCUACGAGACCAUUUGAUUCUCUUCCCUUUUAGGUUUACAGUUUAACAUAUAUGUAUGGGCUCCAGUAAUUGAUAACUCCGUUUCAGUCACAAUCACUGAAACAAACUGAUUGCUUUAAAGUGUAAACUCUGUAUCCAUUAAAUGCUUUUAAUAUUGAAAUUGCCAGCCUUUUAUUUUGAACAGGACAGCUGUUCAAAUAAUGGUCUGAUCGUUCUACUGAACUUUUUGCACAUGCCCAUUUACCUCUUAAUUCGUAGGGCAUGCCAAAAGCUUCUACAGUUAUACUUUCCACAGCAUUUUACAAUAAGCCAAUGUAUACGUAGGAUUCUGAGAGAGAUUUUAAUUACUUACU
Molecule: long non-coding RNA, 1065 nt
Organism: Setaria italica (foxtail millet)
Lineage: Eukaryota; Viridiplantae; Streptophyta; Magnoliopsida; Poales; Poaceae
Exons: 3
Source: RefSeq, a predicted model, not a curated record